Lacerta agilis (Sand lizard) is the source of this 226-nucleotide long non-coding RNA. RefSeq lists it as uncharacterized. The transcript has 3 exons. The record is from RefSeq and is a predicted model, not a curated record. Lineage: Eukaryota; Metazoa; Chordata; Lepidosauria; Squamata; Lacertidae.
GCAAAUUUCCACGCCUCCCCAAGGAAGGAAGUGCACAAAUGCCGGCGCAAGCAUGUAUUGUGUGAAAAUGAAGCCGAACGUGAGCUCCUGGUUAUGAACAGAGAGAGUGCUAUGCAAUUGGGACAAGCAGUCAGGACACCGCACAGUUGGUUUCCCAGCAUCCAAAUGUGGGGAUCCUGAACUGACUGGAAGUACAAUUUAAUUAAAGAGAUUUGCAGUGCCUGGC